CUCAGGAUCUAUUCUAGCCAGCAUUCUUAUUUUAUUUUCAAAAAUGUAGUAAAAUUAUUUGAUUCAUUUUAUUUAUGACUGCGAAUAUGUUAGCAGACGAGUUUCCUCGUGGCUCUCGCAACUGGCUGCUACACGCGCGCUACGUGCGAGGAGAGCAUGCCUUGUGCAUGGAGCUGGCCGACGACC
Molecule: long non-coding RNA, 186 nt
Organism: Ostrinia furnacalis (Asian corn borer)
Lineage: Eukaryota; Metazoa; Arthropoda; Insecta; Lepidoptera; Crambidae
Exons: 2
Source: RefSeq, a predicted model, not a curated record